GCCAGACUCCUACGGGAGGCAGCAGUGGGGAAUAUUGCACAAUGGGGGAAACCCUGAUGCAGCGACGCCGCGUGAGUGAAGAAGUAUCUCGGUACGUAAAGCUCUAUCAGCAGGGAAGAAAAUGACGGUACCUGAUUAAGAAGCCCCGGCUAACUACGUGCCAGCAGCCGCGGUAAUACGUAGGGGGCAAGCGUUAUCCGGAUUUACUGGGUGUAAAGGGAGCGUAGACGGCUGUGCAAGCCUGAAGUGAAAGGCGGGGGCCCAACCCCCGGACUGCUUUGGGAACUGUACGGCUGGAGUGCAGGAGAGGUAAGUGGAAUUCCUAGUGUAGCGGUGAAAUGCGUAGAUAUUAGGAGGAACACCAGUGGCGAAGGCGGCUUACUGGACUGUAACUGACGUUGAGGCUCGAAAGCGUGGGGAGCAAACAGGAUUAGAUACCCCUGUAAA
RNAcentral lists this ribosomal RNA (447 nucleotides) under uncultured bacterium. Its description in RNAcentral is "bacterial SSU rRNA". It matches the Rfam family "Bacterial small subunit ribosomal RNA", at positions 330 to 793 of the family's 1533-position model. The record is from RNAcentral.